AAGUCUCAGAAGUUUAGGGGGUCCCGAAACUGCUUUAGGACCUUUUCACAACCAUAUGAGGAAUUUAAGAAAAAUAGCCUUUGGUCUUUGCUGUWGACCAAAAGAAUCCCACUAAUUCUAAAGAAUGAGAGGAACUUGAGCAAUCUUUGUAGGGUAAUUGUCACGAGUGCUCAAAAAAGAGCUCUGUUUCUUUUGAAGACAAAAACGAAAAUCGUUUCAAGCAAACCUCAUGACCUCAUGUUAAAGCAAUGAUAAUGUAAUGAUUUGUUUUGGUAGGAAUGCUAGGUGGUUCGAUGCAGUGUCUAAAGCCAGGAUUGGAGCGGUCAUGAUGUGAGGACGCUGUUGUCCUGCUGCAGAUUUUACUUUGUAAAGCACUUCAAACCAGUUGUGGCAUGACGCAGUUGGUCUUCUUGCAUCUCUCAUGGUAAAUGUCCUGUUGGGUUUGUCGCCUAUGAAAAACUACGCUGUUUACACCACCUGCUGUACAGUUUCACAACAAAGGUUAGGUUCUGGUGCAGUUUGGACCAUAGUGAUGCAGCAGCUGUUUAUCUCAAUUCAGCACAUGGCAUCAUGCAUCAUCCAGUAAUAUUCAUUCAGGUUCUCUUCUCUACCUACCACUGUUGUAUUGAUCAGGGUGUUACCUCCUAGGCCUGACUAUCCAAAGCCUGUCUGUCAGCCUCCCGUACCUCGUCCUGUCAUUAAAGACUMUCUGUCCAAACUUGCAGCUGUUUUUAUAUAAACACAUAAAACUUGACUGGUGGAAAAUUGAUGUCAUGUAUUUAUGGGCGUGGGAGAAUUUACCGGUCUAUCAUAAAACUUGUUUACGUUGAUUCACAGAUUUCAUUUUUGGUGGAUGUUAUUGUCAAAAUAAGAAAAGUGCUGAUUUUAUUUUCCUCUUUCUAUCUGAACAUCCAUUUUAACAAGUCCUAAGUCCUGAUGGAAGUGCCCAUCUUCACCACCAGUGGCCUGCUCAUCAACAACCCCAGAAUCCAGCUGCUCAGAUACUCUGUUUUGACAAACAACAUUCUCAAAGCAGGCCAGCCCACUGCGAAGAACCAGAUCAUCUGAGGACACAAAGCGGCUCAGCCAGGAUGGAUGCAUGUCUGACAUAUGUGGCUGCGGAGCCAAACAAAUCCCAGUUAGCAGAACGGCCUGAUCCAGUGCCGGUGCCAGACCUGGACACCGGCCAAGCCACAGGGCAAGAAUCAGCUCUUCAUGAACAAGAACUGAACACCAGCACACUUUASUGGCACAUACUGGACAUGAAUCAACUGCUUAAAGAAAAAAUGACUCAUGUCAAAGGGUGCUGCAGGAUAAGUCCAUGCUAGUUCUGAGGUGCAGCUAGAAUGCAAAGCUGGCGUAAACAAGUCUGUAGCUGACAGUGAACUUUGCACAUGUGUCCUUGGGGUUUAUGGCGCGGGCCUAAUUGUUGAGUGGUCCGUAGUCUUUGGCCAAACAGCGGGUACAAAAAUGCAAAACUGUCUAAUGUGGAAUGGACUAGAAUAGUGGGAGAAUGCUUGUUGUAAAAAUUCCUUCUGUUUUAAAGGCAAAGCAAUGCUAGCAGGGGAUUUGGAGAAKUGAAAAAUAUACUGAUUAUGUUGUAACUCCAGUUUUAUUCAACAGAGAACACAAUUUUAGAAUUAAAUUUACAGAUUUAAUAGAAAUCAGAGAACAAAAUGGAAAAUGUUUUAGGGGCUUUGCCUGUAUAAUGAAAAUAAACAGUAACUUUCAA
Long non-coding RNA from Austrofundulus limnaeus, 1732 nucleotides. RefSeq lists it as uncharacterized. NCBI's taxonomy places the organism in Eukaryota, Metazoa, Chordata, Actinopteri, Cyprinodontiformes, Rivulidae. The record is from RefSeq and is a predicted model, not a curated record. The transcript has 2 exons.